GAGCUUACAAAGGAAUGAGCAAGAGGAAAGAAGAUUCUGGUCUCACUUAAAAUGGACUGCAGUACCUCCUCUGCUUGAAAUUCAAAGAAGCCAAGGCUAAGGCAUUCAUAGACAAGUGUUAUUUGUUUUUUCAAACAAACGAGAUUAAAUGAGAAAACCAAAUAAUGGAGAGAACCCGGCACAGAGCCAGAUGUACGGGAAAGAAGACCAGCAGGAAGAACCGUGAGAAACGCAGUAGCAGUAGGAAAGAAAGCAAGAGAUGAUUUGAGAUUCCUUUAGAGAUCAAUUGGAAAGACUGGAAAACUGCUUUCAUAUAGAAAGUUGGAGAUUAAACAAUCAUAAGUCAACUGAUAAGCAGGUGAUGGGAAAGGUUUGAAACUUUUAA
This 385-nucleotide long non-coding RNA is filed under the name Pongo abelii (Sumatran orangutan). RNAcentral describes it as "lincRNA". Lineage: Eukaryota; Metazoa; Chordata; Mammalia; Primates; Hominidae. The record is from RNAcentral.